AGCGAACGCUGGCGGCAUGCUUAACACAUGCAAGUCGCACGGGCAGGGGCAACUCUGUCAGUGGCGGACGGGUGAGUAACGCGUAGGUAUCUAUCCUUGGGUGGGGGACAACCGUGGGAAACUACGGCUAAUACCGCAUGAUGACUGAGGUCCAAAGCCCGCGAGGGUGCCUGGGGAGGAGCCUGCGUACGAUUAGCUUGUUGGUGGGGUAAAGCUUACCAAGGCGAUGAUCGUAGCUGGUCUGAGAGGAUGAUCAGCCACAUUGGGACUGAGACACGGCCCAAACUCCUACGGGAGGCAGCAGUGGGGAAUAUUGGACAAUGGGCGCAAGCCUGAUCCAGCAAUGCCGCGUGUGUGAAGAAGGUCUUCGGAUUGUAAAGCAACUUUCGACGGGGACGAUGAUGACGGUACCCGUAGAAGAAGCCCCGGCUAACUUCGUGCCAGCCGCCGCUGUAAU
Molecule: ribosomal RNA, 457 nt
Filed under: uncultured bacterium
Lineage: Bacteria
Description: bacterial SSU rRNA
Rfam family: Bacterial small subunit ribosomal RNA
Source: RNAcentral